AACGCAUAUUGCACUCUCUGGUAUCCCGGAGAGUAUGCCUGUUUCAGUAUCAUUGGUAACCCCGAAUUUUUGUUGAUCUGAAAUCAGGUAGGACUACCCGCUGAACUUAA
RNAcentral lists this unclassified non-coding RNA (110 nucleotides) under uncultured fungus. RNAcentral's name for it is "sequence contains ITS2". Lineage: Eukaryota; Fungi. The record is from RNAcentral.